Long non-coding RNA from Lynx canadensis (Canada lynx), 1074 nucleotides. RefSeq lists it as uncharacterized. The record is from RefSeq and is a predicted model, not a curated record. Lineage: Eukaryota; Metazoa; Chordata; Mammalia; Carnivora; Felidae. The transcript is spliced from 2 exons.
CCGGGCCCUCUGAUACGGGGCGGAUGCGGCCGGCGGACGGAGCGGAGCUGGGCGUUAUUCCAGGCCAGCCGGCCCGCGGCCCGCGUACCGGGCCCACUCCCACCCCGCUUCGGGCCUCAGUUCUCUCCCCUGUGAACGCUCCCGAGCUCUCUACUAUUGGCCCACACCCGGGCCUGAAUCUGCAGGAACUCCAGGGCCCUCGCAACCCGACGUGCCAGGUCGUGGGCCAGCGUCUGGUCCCAGUGUUCCCGGACUGUUUACUAGGCUGGCAGUGAAAACUGGAAGGAAGCACAGCCUGGCCCCUUUGCGGGAACCCGGAGGAGGCACUGAACCAGGACGUCUGGGAGGGCCCCCUGGAGGAAGCGACCUCGGAGCUGGGAACUGAAAGGACUAGAAGGAAGGAGAGAGUUCUCAGAAGAGGUAGCCUGGGUGGGGAGAGAGAGGCUGGCAUGCCCAGGAGACUGCAGGCUACCCUUUGUGCGAGGAGCAGAGGAAGAAGGUGGACGGUUGAAGGGCUCCACACAGACCAGCACAGGUGCAUGCCAGGCCCUGAGAGGGGCUGUAGAUCAGAACCCGGAGUGAAAAGCCGGUGGUGGAUUCCUUGACUUCAGCUUCCAGAACUGCACUUGGACAUGGAUUUGGCAAUAGAAAGCCUAGCUUGUCCCUCCUGUUCUGAGAGUACCCAGAUCAGGUCAUGGCCAUCACGGGUGGUCCCUGGACACCCUCAGGCAAUGAGGAUGUCACUCCAAAAGCCUGGGAUGGACAGUUUAGUAGGAGGGGGUCUUCUCCCCCGAAGAUUGAGUCAUGUAUGGAAAUUAGGCAGAUCAAAGCCAGAGCAUUAAUUGUUUUGUGUUGAGUUUACAAACAAUCUCUGUUGUUUGAUACUCAUGUAAUUGUAAAGGAAUUUGGUAUGGUAGGGUAUCCAAUAAGUCUGAUUCUGUGUGAAACAUGUUGAGUUUGAAACAUUGAUUUUGAUAGUGAUUCUAAGUUGGAAGGUACAAGACUUUAGUUUGUGAUCAUAAUUGGAAUAGUAAAGGAAAUUUACAAAUUUAAGAUAAAUGAGACCUUAAUGUA